RNAcentral lists this long non-coding RNA (514 nucleotides) under Gallus gallus (chicken). RNAcentral describes it as "long non-coding RNA NONGGAT003067". The record is from RNAcentral. Lineage: Eukaryota; Metazoa; Chordata; Aves; Galliformes; Phasianidae.
CCCGGGGGAAUCCCGCCAGAUCUCGCGAGACAGGAUGGCGUGGCGUGGGCGUUGCCGAGGCAACGACGACCGUACCCACGCCCGUAUAAAAAGCCUCCGGGAGGGCUGCGGUGGGCACGAGGAGAAUGGGUUGGUGCGUGUGCGUUGCGCGGGUUGUUCAAACGUGGAGUGACUGUAAGCCAUCCAUUCACGUGUCGACGCAGCGAGGAGGCGGUGGCUCAAUGAAUUUUAACGUCUGAGAAGUACAUGGACUGUAUGUGAAGGCAGGGAACCUGCUCUGCUGCUGUCAUCAUCGACCUCUGAUAUCACUUGGAGCAAGACAACCAACGAUAGCAGUGAUCUGACUCUGGAGUGGUAAGAAAGGAGGAGAGGAGGAGAAAAUCUGUAAGUGUUGGGAAGAGGACAAGAGAGGAGUCCCCAAGUUAUCAGGCUGGGAGAGAGCUCACGGCUGCAGGGCUGAGGGCAGCGGCUCAUCACACACUGAGCAACUUUGGGCAAGUCCAGGAGACGUUUU